GGGAUAGCUCAGUUUGGUAGAGCAGAUGAUUGUGGUUCAUCCUGUCGCGGGUUCGACUCCCGCUCCAGCG
Molecule: transfer RNA, 70 nt
Filed under: Bradyrhizobium sp. cf659
Lineage: Bacteria; Pseudomonadati; Pseudomonadota; Alphaproteobacteria; Hyphomicrobiales; Nitrobacteraceae
Description: tRNA_His_GTG
Rfam family: tRNA
About the family: Transfer RNA (tRNA) molecules are approximately 80 nucleotides in length. Their secondary structure includes four short double-helical elements and three loops (D, anti-codon, and T loops).
Source: RNAcentral